Molecule: long non-coding RNA, 1346 nt
Filed under: Homo sapiens (human)
Lineage: Eukaryota; Metazoa; Chordata; Mammalia; Primates; Hominidae
Description: HSALNT0135848
Source: RNAcentral
GCCAAGGUGGGUGGAUCCCCUGAGGUUCAGGGCUCAAGACCAGCCUGGCCAACAUGGUGAAAACCCAUCUCUACUAAAAAUACAAAAAAUCAGCUGGGCAUGGUAGCAGUUGCCUGUAAUUCCAGCUACUCAGGAGACUGAAGCAGGAGAAUCACUUGAACCCAGGAGGUGGAGGUUUCAGUGAGCUGAGAUCGCACCACUGCACUUCAGCCUGGGCAACAGGGCAAGACUGUCUCAAAAAAAAGAGUCACCAGAGAGCUUGCUCCUCCCUGCCUUUGGGAACUGCCCCCACAGUCAUUGACGCAGUCACUCAGGAGAUCACCUUCCCAAUUGCAUUUUAGAAGGAAGUGGCAGAUUCAUGAUGCAGAAGGGAGGAGAGAAGGCAGGAGGUGAAGGAGAUGGCACAGGCAGAGGUACAGAGUGGUGACUGAAACCACACGCCAUGUUGGGAGACUUCCAAACAAGUCUAGAGAGUUGGCACUUAGGGAUGAAGAAAUCAUCUUCUGAAGUAACCUGGCCAGGCGCAGUGGCAUACACCUGUAAUUCCAACACAGUGGGAGGAUCUCUUGAUGCCAAGAGUGCAAGACCAGCCUGGGCAACAUAGUCAGUGGCCCGGACAAUGCUUUUGAUGAACAGAUGAUGAGUGACAAUGCAAGAUGAACUGUGACAAGGAUCCCGUGGGUUGUCAAAUGAGUUAAGAGGAAGGAAAAAUUCCUUUGGGUUGCCGAGGCCAAGACAAGCUUCAUUUCAAGCUUAGUCUUGAAGAUGAGUGGGAUUAAGAUAAAAAAUAAAGAAUGGAAAUGAGCAUGAACAAAAACGUGAUGGUGAAAGCAUAUUUGCUAUUUUCAAAAGCCAGGAGCAGUGCUAUCAGUGACAGGCAAACAGGCCUGGAAAAGAAGGUACCAAGACAAGGAUAUCUUCAAAAUACAGGCUUGAGCACUUAAUCUAAAGCCAGAAAAAAACAUUGGCUUCAACUGUCCAUCAAACUCUAUUAAAUAUAAGAAAGUUUCCUAAAUAUAUCAUUUUUCCCUGUUAGAAUUCAUUGUCUCUACUGAUUUCAAAAUCAGCAAAUAUUUAUUGUAAAAAAGAAAGAAAAAAUACUUGUUAAAAUCUAUUUCUAUAAAAACUACUGCUACUGGUUUCUCCCUAAAUGCUCGGCAGUGAGCAAAGAAAGAUACUGUUAACAUUUAGUAGCUGCUGCGGUCACCUUGGCAUAAUCGAGUGAACACAGACUUUAAUGGCAGUUUAAUUAGAUUUACCACGGGGAAGAUGUCACACAGGAGAUGCGAUGCUUCUGUAUUUAGAAACCUAUAUGAUGACAUGAAUAAAUAAAAAAUGAACAGAAA